UGUUGUUGUAGGACCCCAUCAUCUUUCUGGAAACUUCAAAUUUGAUGUUAGGUCUGGAAGUGAUUCCCUGCAGAAAACUUAUAGAGACUUGAACACAAAAACAUAUAUAGGCAGCUAACUGAAGCCUUUUAUUCUAGAAUUAUUUAGUAUUCUAUAUGACCAUUAAUAUCAUAACAAAAUUUAAAAUGGAUGUAUAUAUAUUUUG
Molecule: non-coding RNA, 205 nt
Organism: Peromyscus maniculatus bairdii (prairie deer mouse)
Lineage: Eukaryota; Metazoa; Chordata; Mammalia; Rodentia; Cricetidae
Source: RefSeq, a predicted model, not a curated record